UACGAAGGGGGCUAGCGUUGCUCGGAAUUACUGGGCGUAAAGCGCACGUAGGCGGCUUCUUAAGUCGAUGGUGAAAUCCUGGAGCUCAACUCCAGAACUGCCUUCGAUACUGGGGAGCUCGAGUUCGGGAGAGGUGAGUGGAACUGCGAGUGUAGAGGUGAAAUUCGUAGAUAUUCGCAAGAACACCGGUGGCGAAGGCGGCUCACUGGCCCGAUACUGACGCUGAGGUGCGAAAGCGUGGGGAGCAAACAGG
Molecule: ribosomal RNA, 253 nt
Filed under: uncultured bacterium
Lineage: Bacteria
Description: partial 16S ribosomal RNA
Rfam family: Bacterial small subunit ribosomal RNA
Source: RNAcentral